GGAGCAAACGAAGUGAAGCAUGUUAUUUAAUACGAAAGUACGCGUAAAAUCUUACCAGUUCUUGCAUAGCCAAUCCCUCUUAUUUAUUUAGAUAAAAACUACUCACUACUCCCACCUUUGCCUUUAUAAGCAUAUAGCAAAAGCAAAGGUGGGAUGGUGGGAGAAGUUUUUUCUUUUAAAUUUAAGACUGGAUUGAGUGAUAAUUAUUUAUUAAUAAGUUUUUUUUUCCUUUUCUUGUUUCUUCUCUAUCUAUAUAUACACCUUUGCUUUUCCCUCCAUCAUUAAGUAUUGGAGCAAAGGAAAGUAAAGGAUGAUAGAAACGGUGGAGACAAAAAAAUAGUGUAAUAAUAUUUAAUUUAUUUAUAUUAAUUUAUCCGUUUACAGGUGUUG
RNAcentral lists this ribosomal RNA (390 nucleotides) under Hebeloma bulbiferum. Its description in RNAcentral is "partial small subunit ribosomal RNA". Lineage: Eukaryota; Fungi; Basidiomycota; Agaricomycetes; Agaricales; Hymenogastraceae. The record is from RNAcentral.